RNAcentral lists this ribosomal RNA (273 nucleotides) under uncultured bacterium. RNAcentral describes it as "partial 16S ribosomal RNA". It matches the Rfam family "Bacterial small subunit ribosomal RNA", at positions 524 to 796 of the family's 1533-position model. The record is from RNAcentral.
UAAGGAGGGUGCAAGAGUUACUCGGAAUCACUGGGCGUAAAGGAUGCGUAGGCUGGAAAUCAAGUCGAGAGUGAAAUCCAACGGCUCAACCGUUGAACUGCUCUCGAAACUGGUUACCUAGAAUAUGGGAGAGGUAGAUGGAAUUAGUGGUGUAGGGGUAAAAUCCGUAGAUAUCACUAGGAAUACCGAUUGCGAAGGCGAUCUAAUGGAACAUUAUGGACGCUGAGGCAUGAAAGCGGGGGGAGCAAACAGGCUUCGAUACCCGUGUAGUCC